CAGUCGAACGCUUCAGCAAUGAAGAGUGGCAGACGGGUGAGUAACGCGUGGGAACCUUCCCAGUGGUACGGAAUAGCCCAGGGAAACUUGGGGUAAUACCGUAUAAGCCCUUAGGGGGAAAGAUUUAUCGCCAUUGGAUGGGCCCGCGUCGGAUUAGCUUGUUGGUGAGGUAAAAGCUCACCAAGGCGACGAUCCGUAGCUGGUCUGAGAGGAUGAUCAGCCACACUGGGACUGAGACACGGCCCAGACUCCUACGGGAGGCAGCAGUGGGGAAUAUUGGACAAUGGGCGCAAGCCUGAUCCAGCCAUGCCGCGUGAGUGACGAAGGCCUUAGGGUUGUAAAGCUCUUUUGGCGGGGACGAUAAUGACGGUACCCGCAGAAUAAGCUCCGGCUAACUUCGUGCCAGCAGCCGCGGUAAUACGAAGGGAGCUAGCGUUGUUCGGAAUUACUGGGCGUAAAGCGCACGUAGGCGGACUUGUUAGUCAGGGGUGAAAUCCCGGGGCCCAACCUCGGAACUGCCUUUGAUACUGCAAGUCUGGAGUCCGGAAGAGGUGGGUGGAAUUCCUAGUGUAGAGGUGAAAUUCGUAGAUAUUAGGAAGAACACCGGUGGCGAAGGCGG
This 619-nucleotide ribosomal RNA is filed under the name uncultured bacterium. RNAcentral describes it as "bacterial SSU rRNA". It matches the Rfam family "Bacterial small subunit ribosomal RNA", at positions 59 to 724 of the family's 1533-position model. The record is from RNAcentral.